Molecule: ribosomal RNA, 253 nt
Filed under: uncultured bacterium
Lineage: Bacteria
Description: partial 16S ribosomal RNA
Rfam family: Bacterial small subunit ribosomal RNA
Source: RNAcentral
UACGAAGGGGGCUAGCGUUGCUCGGAUUGACUGGGCGUAAAGGGCGCGUAGGCGGUUUGUACAGUCAGGCGUGAAAUUCCUGGGCUCAACCUGGGGGCUGCGUUUGAUACGUGCAGACUUGAGUUCGGAAGAGGGUCGUGGAAUUCCCAGUGUAGAGGUGAAAUUCGUAGAUAUUCGCAAGAACACCAGUGGCGAAGGCGGCUCACUGGCCCGAUACUGACGCUGAGGCACGAAAGCGUGGGGAGCAAACAGG